AUUGAACGCUGGCGGCAGGCCUAACACAUGCAAGUCGAGCGGAUGAAGGGAGCUUGCUCCUGGAUUCAGCGGCGGACGGGUGAGUAAUGCCUAGGAAUCUGCCUGGUAGUGGGGGAUAACGUCCGGAAACGGGCGCUAAUACCGCAUACGUCCUGAGGGAGAAAGUGGGGAACCUUGGACCCCCAGGUAUCAGGUGGAGCCUAGGUCGGAUUAGCUAGUUGGUGGGGUAAAGGCCUACCAAGGCAACGAUCCGUAACUGGUCUGAGAGGAUGAUCAGUCACACUGGAACUGAGACACGGUCCAGACUCCUACGGGAGGCAGCAGUGGGGAAUAUUGGACAAAGGGCGAAAGCCUGAUCCAGCCAUGCCGCGUGUGUGAAGAAGGUCUUCGGAUUGUAAAGCACUUUAAGUUGGGAGGAAGGGCAGUAAGUUAAUACCUUGCUGUUUUGACGUUACCAACAGAAUAAGCACCGGCUAACUUCGUG
RNAcentral lists this ribosomal RNA (484 nucleotides) under uncultured bacterium. RNAcentral's name for it is "partial 16S ribosomal RNA". It matches the Rfam family "Bacterial small subunit ribosomal RNA", at positions 30 to 507 of the family's 1533-position model. The record is from RNAcentral.